UCUGAAAGGACUCAGCCUCGAACGAGAGAACGCCGACAGUAAGAGGAUUCUUGCCCUGAUGCUUACCUGAGCAUCUCUGAAUUUGUUCUCCAGCCCACUGGCCUGGCUGCCCUGGAGCAGAGGGACACGGGGACUCAGCUCAGACCAUAAACCAGUAGGAUUAACCCCCAUGUCAAUACCUGCUUGUUGUCAGGGAGCUGCUCGGUCGCCGGAGAGCCCUCUGAGAUGACGUAUUCCCUGCCACCUUGGCCUGCUCCCCUGGGCUGCCACGUCUCCCCUUCCCUUGUUUAUAUCGAGUAACCUGAGCUCCGCGGGCCUGACCGAGGCGUGUGAGUUCUGACACGGCCCAGAGAGGCCAGGAUGGCUGCUGUCGGCCUUGUUCUCAUUACUCUGCUGAGACGGGGCCUUGAUCACAUUACCCAUCAUUCAGGCUCCCCAGGGGAUCAGCCUCUGGUUCCGAGGGCACAAGGUAAACCCGGGGAGGUCUUAGCAACGCCUAUCACUGUCGACCCCCGGGGAACUUGCCCAAUGUAAGGCAUUCGCGCUCCGUCUCCCACCGGACCCCGGGGCAGGCAGCGAGCCCGCCCCCCACCAGUGCACCUCGCGGUGCCAAAGGAAAGGCGCCUCAUGCUAUUAGCUCAAAUAAGGAAAAUCAUGCUGGGGAGAUUGAAUUUUCUGCAGAGCUGGUGAAACUCGGUGAUUUCUGAACACGUGGUGCUGGCAGGCGUGGGGACGUGGGCUGCCAGCCUGCGAUUUAUCAGCCGAUUCUGGAGUCUAUGCACAGGUUUAUUAAAUCAGCAUGAGUCCCUCUCCUGCCUUCCUUGCAAAUGUGAAUCGCGAAUCGCCAAAACCCAGAGAACACACGUGACCCAAGAGUUUCUUCUUGGGGCCUGGAGCAUCUAGAGAGCUGGGGGAAGAGUGCUGUCAGUGGGAGGUCUCCACCAGCCGGCGGAACGCCCAGGCCAGGCAGAGAGAAGCAGCUAGGUGGGGCGCCCAGAGCACAGGUGCAGGCGGGGCACAGACCGGGGCCCACCUCCGCCCUUACGGGCUCAUCCGCUCAGUCCUGCCUGUGCCAGGCAGUGGGCUGUGCAUGGGGCACUCGGCCCAGAGAAGGACUUACCCCAGGUUCAGCCCUCACAGAGCUUAUGGUCUCAUCAAAGUUUUUGGAGCGAUUGGAACUGUGUUUCUAUCACUGGCCUCACUGGAAAACGUGGGACACAUCAUUUCACUUCUCUGAACCUCAGUUUCCCCAUUCUGCCACCUACAGGCAGAAGAGUAAAUCAAAGGGACAUCAAGUCCCACACGUGGUGCCUGGCUCAUCAUUCCUGCUGAACCAGCAUCUGCCACUUCUCUGGAAAGAAGGCAGUGACGAGUGACAUCCUACCGAAACCAGGGGGCCCUCUCCCCAUCCGAUCCCUACCAACCCUCCCGGUUAUGCCCAGACAACUGGGAGCCCGGACACCAGGCUCAGCCCCCUGGAGGCGGUGUGCUGGCACCCACGCAGCUCCGGCUGGAGAGAGCAGUUCUGCCCUGGGGCACCUGCCCAGGACUCCUGCCCCCUGGAGCCUCAGUUUCAGGCCAUCCUUCCUGGCAAUCUACAGCAGCACUUCUUUCUCCCUCAGUCUUUUGGCCAGUAGGUCCUGAGCACACUCUCAGCCUCCAGCCGUCGCCUCUCUACAAAAUGACCAAGAUGGCAACGAGAAGCUUCCUCGCUGCAGCCAGGGCGUCCGGCCACCCUGGCCCACCUUCCGCAGGUCGAGGGCCAAAGACCCAAGAUUUCCCUUUAAUGCCCCCGCUGGGUCGCCUACUCCCCAGCAAACUUCGCUCCUGGACUCUUGGACUUUCAGUCCCAGGCUCCCCGGACCAUCACCUCUGGGGCACAGAGCUCUUAGUCUCGGCCUGGGAGCAGGUGGAUUCACUCCUCCCCAUGGGACCUGAAGAGAGUGAGCCUAUCAAAGCCAGAGCCCUCCCCGCCCCCGCUGGAGAACUAGACGGCACUCCGUCUAUGGAGGGUGCAUCGCCGUGGCUGCUCUCACCUUCUGAGAUGGCCCACACGCCGUCUCGAUAAAUCUACUUCUCACCCACCGCUUUGCCUCCCACUGAAUUCCUUCGGCGCUGAGACAUAAAGAAAGUGAACGUCACGAAGUCCUGAGAGCAGGUGUGUGAUGUGAAUCAAAAGACAGUGAUUUCAAGCCUCGUCCAGGCUUCAGGUUCCCAGAAGAUUCUGCCUCAACACUCCAAGACCGUGUUGGACACGGCCAUGACCUUCCUGCUUCACCCCUGGCACGCUGACAGCCAUGUUUUAUAUUGCCUUUCCUCCCAGUGACCCUGGAGCAAUAAUCAAGGGGCUAUCUUUUUUUGUUUGUUUGUUUGUUUUUAGCUAUGCCCAUGGCAUCCGGAAGUUCCCAGGCCAGGGAUCGAACCCAUGGCACAGCAGCGACAAUGCUGGAUCCUUAACCUGCUGGGCCACUGAGAAAACGCCUCAAUGGGCUAUCAUUGACCCAGGAGUUGGGCCAAAAUGAUUUCCUGCCCUGGAACUCGGAAUGAGAAAAUCCCAAGAGCACUGCAAUAAAGCAGCAGUUCCAGUGGGAAAAUCCUGCCAUGUCCCAGAGCUGGCUCUUCCGAAGUUGAGAGACAGAAGCCAGGAGAAGAGGAGAGGGUGAGACCCACCCCCCCCGCCACCACCAUUGGGUGGAGAGAGGCCAGCCGAGGGGAGCAGCAGAGCCAACAUCCGCCCUGGGGUCCAGAGCCUCUGUGAUCCAGAAGUUGCCUCCUACAGCCUAGACUGAGUUGCGAGUUUGCUCUUGGGCCACAGGGACACUGAAAUCCACAGAGACUGCAUCAACUGUGUCUACAUGGAUUCAUGUCCUUGAACCCUAGAGAGCCACCAGCGGGGAAGGAAGUGGGCAGAGCACAGCCAAGCCAUGCAGCAGGAAGAGGUUUCUGGAACCUGGCCCAGCAUUGUAACCCUCUGGAGAGCUUCAGAACUGCAGGUGUCCAGAUCCCAACCAAGGGCAUCUGAUUGAACAGGUCUGGGGGCUGUGCGUCCACUGUGUCACAAAGUUCGCCAGGCGAUCAGGAUGCUGGACUUGGUUUAAGAACCACUCAUUUGGGCCCUAUACCUCUUGUCUCACAAAAACAGCAUCUCCAGCAUCCGGAUGGCCAAAGAUAGGGUUUGGGGAGCAGUGUCAUUUUCUGGGAAGUUCUUCAUCAGUCUGACAAAACCUGUACUCUUCUCUCUUGGGGCUCAAAUGCCACCCAGCCUCCUCCAGGAAGCCUACCCAUCUUAAAUGAACUCCUACCUGAGCCCCACCUUCCCCGCAUGCUGCCAUCCAUGUCCCCGUGGUUUGUGGUCUAUACCACAUGGAGAACCUUUGUCCCUGGGGAGUUCCUAGCCCCCUGGGAUCGGCCUUUGUCCUCUAAGAUGAAGCGCCAGCUCUGGGCCUCCACUGAGCACCCACUCUAGGCUCAGACCUGGAUGUGGGCUGCGUGGGUGGGGCUGGCCAUGGGAGAGGGGCCAACUCCUUGCUGACCCUGGGGAACAACGGUGGCCCCUCUGGCCAGGUACCCUGGUGGAGGGGAGGCAGGCCCCAGAGAUCUUCACUGGCAGACACAAGACACAGUGGAAAGCUGAGCUGGGACCCCUUGAUUCAGUCCAGACCGCAGGACCAUUCCAGCAAAGCCUUCAUACCUCUUCUUAAGUAAUGGCGCCCAGAAAGGCAGGUGUGGGGGUGCAGGAGUUGGGAGAAGAAGAGGGAGAGAGGCAGCUUUCUGAAGCACCUUCCAACCCCGGCGGGAGGCGGGCUCCCGCAAAAGCCCGGCCCCAGUGCCAGAUCUUGCCCUGGGCCGCCACGGGCCUGAGCAAUUGGUGCAGCUGGAAGUGUGCAGGCGUGGAGAAGGCCCCACUGUGAAAAAUGUGCAUUUGAUCAAGGCUGAAAACAUGGUGUAACAUGAGUUCUCCUGAUCUAUUGGAUUUCUGCAAAAGAGCCCUGAACUCCUCACUCAAGUUCAACCUCAGGUCUCGGGAAAAAUGAGUUUGUUAAUUCAAGCAAUUCCCCCGUGGUUAGUAGUUUCUGCCACAUGCUUUGAAACAACGCGGCCUGAGUCAGGGGAGAAUUGAACGAUUUCCUAGGGGAGAGCCAAGGCCUAUCUGUUAACCUUGACAGGCUCUGCAGCCGCCUGCACGGGCCUGCCCAGCCCUCGGAGCCCCCUCCCUUGAGGCUCGCACAAGGGUUCGAACCCCACAGCUCACACAGCCACAUGGAGCAGCUCCCCUUAUUCAGAGAACGGCUGGCCUCUCUGCACUCCCAUCCUGCAGGCUGGAGAGCUGGCGUCUACUGUCACUUGCCUCUCCAAGAAGACUGUGCUUGGAGUUGGGAGCAGGGGGCAUCUGGACCCUCUGACCAAACAGACCCAGAGAGCUCGUGCUGGCCAGUGUGGACAGGUGGCAGGGUCAGCCCUGCUGUGGGUCGGUCUCAGGCCCACUGUGGCAAAGGUCUUUUGAAGAGAUGACUAGUCAUCGCUAGACUACCUGGGAAACGCCACUCUAAUACUUACUGGGCAUCUGUUUCAUGCCAGGCUCCAUUCUAAGCCAUAGACACCUCCUAGGUGUGGACCUGGGAGAAUGUGCAGAGGGGACAGUCACAGGACAAUGAUCAACACACAUCAACAGCCUUCCACAGGUGUCAAUUCUCACCGCCUCUGCCAAGGUCGGCGCAGACGAGUCAGCUGAAGCAGGGACCAGUCGUUUGCCCAAGGCCACCCAGCUGGUAAGCAGCUGUAUGGGCAUUUAGAGGCAGGCAAUCGGGCUCCAGAACCUUUGCCCUUCACCACCACUGGAUCACUGUUCUUAUCAUCAUUCUCAUGAAAGCACUGCCCUCCCUUCUGAUCUGUCACAUGCAGGCACAUCCUAGCACCCAGGAAGUGGUAUCCUUAGGGCGACCCCGGGGUCUGAACCCAGGGCUCAAGCUGCUAGCUCCCCUACUCUGCCUCGGUGGACCUCUCAACUCCUAACUCCCUCACUUUAAGAUGGAAAUGAUGCGUACUCAGAGGGUUCUUGAGAUAAUGACACGAACGAGUGAAUAUUAAAGGGCUUAGCCCUUUGCAGUACCUGCAAAUAAAAGGCUGG
This 5128-nucleotide long non-coding RNA is filed under the name Sus scrofa (pig). RNAcentral describes it as "lncRNA (ENSSSCG00025043777.1)". The record is from RNAcentral. Lineage: Eukaryota; Metazoa; Chordata; Mammalia; Artiodactyla; Suidae.